AAAAUUUGAGAAAUCACGUUUUAUACAAACUAGAAACAUUUGCUCAGUGCCAACAACGUGCAUACGAUUGCCAUAUGAAGCAGCAAUCCCCACUAAGUAUUCCCCAAAUUCAGCGAAAGGGCGUACUCCAAAACACUUGUUUUUCGGAAUUAGGAUUCCUUCUACGUGAAUACCUCUCGACAACUUCAACUGCCCAUAUCCCCUCUUUUAAGCAAUCAGAGUGUUGUUGUUUCAAUGGCUACCGACGCCAGUUCAGAUCGGAAUGCUACAGCCGCAGAACCUGUACUGCUACCGGAGAUUGGGUCCGAUGGUAUUGCUAGGGAAUCACCGGUUAUUGCUUACACCGAGAAGAUAAUUGAGGCAGAGCAGCUUCAAUUAAGAAAAUAUAUAGAUGAAAAUUACUCCAAGAUUCGUGAUGUUGAGAAGGAACUGGCAAACCUGUCAAUGGAGAUGAAACUUACGGCUGGGCCUAAGAAAGCAGCACUUGAACACAUGAGAAAAAAAAUAGAAAUGUCAACAGAGAAAAUCUGUAUUGCUAAGCAGAAGGAAGAACAAGCACGGAAGGCAUGGGAAGCAGCAUUAAAAGCUGUUAAGAAUGAGGAGGAUUUCAAGCAAAAGCUUUGCGAGGACUUGAAUAAUCUGGUUCGUGAAAGUAGCAACACUCAGCUGGCUAGAUUGGAGGAACUGAAAAGGAAGCUGGAAGCUUUAAAUCCGAGCAGAGCAUCCACAUCUUCUGCCUUGGAUCUGAAUUCCGUGGGACCUGCACCGAGCAGUAUGAAUCGAGAUGUUCCCUCAGUUCAAGGUUCACAGGAAUCAUUAAAUGGAUCAUCUGAAACUACAUUUAAAGAAGGAAACACUGGAAACACUGCAGCAGAAAAUGGACAAAACCAACAACGUGAAGCAAGAGGGAAGAAGAAAAUUAAUGCCCAAGGAAGAGGGAAGGGAAUUGGCAUAAUACCUAAAAGUAGAGGUGCAGCACCACCUGGUUGGACAGGGGCUGGGUUUGAUGUGGAUGGUAGAAGUUGAUCCAGUUCAGUUUCGAUUUAAAAGGACAUAUGCACCUAUAUGGCAUGCAAAAGCAAAGAAGCGGUAAUAUGUAUGGAGUAGUCAUUCAAUUUAAUGAAGAGGAAAAAGAUUGGAGGCCAUGUUCAUGACUGAAUGAGUCUAGUCGAGCUUUGCUGAGCUAGAUUGUGAUUUCAAGUGCAGUUUGUUUAAGGACUAAACUGGUUGAGUCAAGUGGUACAGAAGGGCCAUCCUUGUGAACAUGGUUCCCGAGAUGAAUAAUAUAAACUUUUAGAUGUCACUCUUGUUCGUAGCUCAUUAUCUACGGAUACAGUUAUACUUGGAAAAAUCAUGUGACACUAGCUAGAAGAACUGCUCAGCUUGUUCGCCAGUAGAGGCUUGAUUAUAUGAAGGUGUCAAAUAAGACUGCUAGUAAGACUCUAUAAUAUGCCGUUAGUAGCUGAUAAGUAAGAUUAUGCUUUGGUCAUGCCACAACAAAUUUCUUCUCCUUGUUUUCUAUUGAUUUUGAGCUAUCAAUUCUUUUCUUUUUUA
Solanum lycopersicum (tomato) is the source of this 1554-nucleotide RNA transcript. RefSeq lists it as uncharacterized. The record is from RefSeq and is a predicted model, not a curated record. Lineage: Eukaryota; Viridiplantae; Streptophyta; Magnoliopsida; Solanales; Solanaceae.